This 293-nucleotide ribosomal RNA is filed under the name Staphylococcus aureus. RNAcentral's name for it is "partial 23S ribosomal RNA". It matches the Rfam family "Bacterial large subunit ribosomal RNA", at positions 2212 to 2504 of the family's 2925-position model. Lineage: Bacteria; Bacillati; Bacillota; Bacilli; Caryophanales; Staphylococcaceae. The record is from RNAcentral.
UGUUGGCUUUCUAACCCGCACCACUUAUCGUGGUGGGAGACAGUGUCAGGCGGGCAGUUUGACUGGGGCGGUCGCCUCCUAAAAGGUAACGGAGGCGCUCAAAGGUUCCCUCAGAAUGGUUGGAAAUCAUUCAUAGAGUGUAAAGGUAUAAGGGAGCUUGACUGCGAGACCUACAAGUCGAGCAGGGUCGAAAGACGGACUUAGUGAUCCGGUGGUUCCGCAUGGAAGGGCCAUCGCUCAACGGAUAAAAGCUACCCCGGGGAUAACAGGCUUAUCUCCCCCAAGAGUUCACA